Molecule: ribosomal RNA, 253 nt
Filed under: uncultured bacterium
Lineage: Bacteria
Description: partial 16S ribosomal RNA
Rfam family: Bacterial small subunit ribosomal RNA
Source: RNAcentral
UACGUAGGUGGCAAGCGUUGUCCGGAUUUACUGGGCGUAAAGAGCGCGCAGGCGGUCGUUCAAGUCGCGUGUGAAAGCCCCCGGCUCAACUGGGGAGGGUCACGCGAUACUGAUCGACUCGAAGGCAGGAGAGGGUAGUGGAAUUCCCGGUGUAGUGGUGAAAUGCGUAGAUAUCGGGAGGAACACCAGUGGCGAAGGCGACUACCUGGACCAAUACUGACGCUCAGGUGCGAAAGCGUGGGGAGCAAACAGG